This 67-nucleotide transfer RNA is filed under the name Diplodactylus vittatus. RNAcentral describes it as "tRNA-Val". The record is from RNAcentral. Lineage: Eukaryota; Metazoa; Chordata; Lepidosauria; Squamata; Diplodactylidae.
CAAGAAGUAGCUUACAACAAAGCACUUAACUUACAAUUAAGAAACGCCCGAACCUGGGCCUUCUUGA